This 253-nucleotide ribosomal RNA is filed under the name uncultured bacterium. Its description in RNAcentral is "partial 16S ribosomal RNA". It matches the Rfam family "Bacterial small subunit ribosomal RNA", at positions 524 to 776 of the family's 1533-position model. The record is from RNAcentral.
UACAGAGGUCCCAAGCGUUGUUCGGAUUCACUGGGCGUAAAGGGUGCGUAGGUGGUGGGGUAAGUCUGAUGUGAAAUCUUCGAGCUUAACUCGGAAAUGGCAUUGGAUACUACUCUGCUAGAGGUUUGGAGGGGGGACUGGAAUUCUCGGUGUAGCAGUGAAAUGCGUAGAUAUCGAGAGGAACACCUGCGGCGAAGGCGGGUUGCUGGGCUGACACUGACGCUGAAGUGCGAAAGCUAGGGGAGCGAACGGG